This 500-nucleotide ribosomal RNA is filed under the name uncultured Acidobacteriota bacterium. Its description in RNAcentral is "bacterial SSU rRNA". It matches the Rfam family "Bacterial small subunit ribosomal RNA", at positions 8 to 524 of the family's 1533-position model. The record is from RNAcentral. Lineage: Bacteria; Pseudomonadati; Acidobacteriota.
AGAGUUUGAUCAUGGCUCAGAAUCAACGCUGGCGGCGUGCCUCAGACAUGCAAGUCGAACGAUUAAAGCUCCCUUCGGGGAGUGCAUAAAGUGGCGCACGGGUGAGUAACACGUAAGUAAUCUACCUUCGAGUGGGGAAUAACAGUCGGAAACGGCUGCUAAUACCGCAUAAUGCAGCGGCAUCGCAAGAUGACAGUUGUUAAAGAUUUAUCGCUUGAAGAGGAGCUUGCGGCAGAUUAGCUAGUUGGUAAGGUAAUGGCUUACCAAGGCUACGAUCUGUAACCGGUCUAAGAGGACGGUCGGUCACACUGACACUGAAUAACGGGUCAGACUCCUACGGGAGGCAGCAGUCGGGAAUUUUGGGCAAUGGGGGAAACCCUGACCCAGCAACGCCGCGUGAAGGAUGAAGUAUUUCGGUAUGUAAACUUCGAAGAAUAGGAAGAAUUAAUGACGGUACUAUUUAUAAGGUCCGGCUAACUACGUGCCAGCAGCCGCGUAAU